UGCUCAAAGUAUGCACACGUUCCCAAAAGUAGACCUCCUUCACCGCCGGAGGAGCAUACAUCACCCCGUGGCAGCCGUCCACCUUCUCAGGCGUUUCGUAACCGAGUAAACUGAGAGCUGGGAACAGCCCUCUAUUAAGUAGCCCGCGGCGCAGAGUCUCUUUCCACUUGGCGAAGGCGAACCGCCCCUGACGCGUCCGCGCGCCGGCAGCUGCAGGCUCAGGCGGUCUCCACUCGUCCUGCAGCGCCCGCCUCUCCUCCUGGGAUUCUCCUCCUCCUACUGGACUUCCCCGCGGCUGCCCACGCCUCGGCGGCCGCUAGGUGCUCCUGGAGCGCAGCGCCUAUCGCCCGGGCGUGUGGGGGCCACACCGAGCACCAGCUUCUCCGACGCCAGGAAGCCGCCGUCGCCGCCUCUACCUCACCCUGUCGCCGCCGUCUCAGAGCUCUUCAUGCCGCUGUAAGCUCGGAGGCCGAGGAUGCGGACCAGGCUUCCCCCAGUGCUUGCCGCCCUGGGCGCGGCCCUGCUCCUGUCUUCCAUUGAGGCAGAAGUUGACCCACCUUCAGACUUGAAUUUUAAAAUUAUAGAUGAAAAUACUGUUCAUAUGUCAUGGGCAAAACCAGUUGAUCCAAUUGUGGGUUACAGAAUAACGGUGGACCCUACAACAGAUGGGCCUACUAAAGAAUUUACCCUUGCAGCUAGUACCACUGAAACUUUAUUGUCAGAACUUGUACCUGAAACAGAGUAUGUGGUGACAAUAACUUCAUAUGAUGAAGUAGAAGAAAGUGUACCAGUUAUAGGACAACUAACAAUUCAAACAGGUAGUUCGACAAAGCCAGUGGAGAAAAAACCUGGAAAAACCGAGAUACAAAAAUGCUCUGUCAGUGCCUGGACUGAUCUGAUUUUCCUUGUGGAUGGCUCUUGGAGUGUGGGAAGAAAUAAUUUCAAGUACAUUUUAGACUUUAUUGCUGCUCUUGUGUCUGCUUUUGAUAUCGGGGAAGAGAAGACAAGAGUUGGAGUUGUUCAGUACAGCUCUGAUACCAGGACUGAAUUUAACUUAAAUCAGUACUACCAAAGGGAUGAGCUUCUUGCUGCAAUAAAAAAAAUUCCAUAUAAAGGUGGCAACACAAUGACAGGGGAUGCCAUUGAUUAUUUAGUUAAAAAUACUUUCACGGAAUCUGCUGGGGCAAGAGUUGGCUUUCCUAAAGUGGCAAUUAUUAUUACGGAUGGAAAAUCCCAGGAUGAAGUGGAAAUUCCAGCAAGAGAGCUUCGUAAUGUUGGAGUUGAAGUUUUCUCCUUGGGCAUUAAAGCUGCAGAUGCAAAAGAACUCAAACAAAUUGCCUCCACACCUUCACUGAACCAUGUUUUCAAUGUGGCCAACUUUGAUGCAAUCGUGGAUAUUCAGAAUGAGAUCAUCUCCCAGGUGUGCUCAGGUGUUGAUGAACAACUUGGCGAAUUGGUUAGUGGAGAAGAAGUUGUUGAGCCUCCUUCAAAUUUGAUUGCCGUGGAAGUCUCUUCAAAAUACGUUAAGCUAAGUUGGAAUCCAUCUGCUAGUCCAGUGACUGGCUACAAAGUCAUCCUCACACCAAUGACAGCAGGAAGCCGACAGCACGCUCUGAGUGUGGGGCCUCAGACAACCACGCUCAGUGUUCGUGACCUCUCAGCAGACACAGAAUACCAGAUCAGUGUUUCUGCCAUGAAGGGAAUGACAUCCAGUGAACCCAUCUCAAUAAUGGAGAAGACUCAGCCAAUGAAAGUACAAGUGGAAUGCUCACGUGGUGUGGAUAUAAAAGCCGAUAUUGUGUUUUUGGUUGAUGGCUCCUAUAGCAUUGGGAUUGCAAACUUUGUUAAAGUUAGAGCCUUUUUGGAAGUUCUUGUAAAAAGUUUUGAAAUUUCACCAAAUAGGGUCCAGAUUAGUCUUGUCCAAUACAGCCGGGAUCCUCAUACUGAGUUCACUUUGAAAAAAUUCACCAAAGUGGAAGAUAUAAUUGAAGCAAUAAACACCUUCCCUUACAGAGGAGGAUCUACAAAUACUGGCAAAGCAAUGACUUAUGUCAGAGAGAAAAUAUUUGUGCCUAGCAAGGGAUCAAGAAGCAAUGUGCCAAAGGUCAUGAUUCUUAUCACGGAUGGGAAAUCGUCAGAUGCUUUCAGAGAUCCUGCGAUAAAACUAAGGAAUUCAGAUGUUGAAAUCUUCGCAGUUGGUGUGAAAGAUGCUGUUCGCUCAGAAUUAGAAGCUAUUGCCUCUCCUCCCGCAGAGACCCAUGUGUUCACAGUGGAAGAUUUUGAUGCUUUUCAGAGGAUAUCUUUUGAACUCACGCAGUCUAUCUGCCUUAGAAUUGAGCAAGAAUUGGCAGCUAUAAAGAAGAAAGCUUACGUCCCUCCAAAGGAUCUUAGUUUUUCAGAAGUGACUUCUUAUGGUUUCAAAACCAACUGGUCUCCAGCUGGAGAAAAUGUUUUUUCAUAUCACAUCACCUACAAGGAAGCGACUGGGGAUGACGAGGUCACUGUGGUGGAGCCAGCAUCGAGCACCAGUGUUGUUCUCAGCAACCUGAAGCCAGAGACCCUGUAUUUGGUCAAUGUGACUGCGGAGUAUGAGGAUGGCUUCAGCAUUCCCUUAGCUGGAGAGGAGACCACCGAAGAAGUAAAAGGAGCACCUCGAAACCUAAAGGUGACAGAUGAGACUACAGAUAGUUUUAAAAUUACUUGGACUCAAGCUCCAGGGAGAGUUUUAAGAUAUCGAAUUAUAUAUAGACCAGUUGCUGGUGGAGAAAGCAGAGAAGUUACCACCCCACCCAAUCAGAGGAGGAGAACACUGGAGAACUUGAUUCCAGACACAAAAUAUGAAGUAACUGUAAUUCCUGAAUAUUUCUCGGGACCUGGUUCUCCAUUAACUGGAAACGCAGCCACUGAAGAAGUUAGAGGGAAUCCAAGAGACUUAAGAGUUUCUGACCCUACGACGUCUACUAUGAAAUUAUCUUGGAGUGGGGCACCAGGAAAAGUGAAACAGUAUCUCGUCACAUAUACCCCAGUGGCAGGGGGUGAAACUCAAGAGGUCACUGUGAGGGGAGAUACAACCAAUACGGUGCUGCGGGGAUUGAAGGAAGGGACACAAUACGCCUUAUCUGUGACAGCCUUGUAUGCGUCUGGGGCUGGAGAUGCCCUCUUUGGUGAAGGAACAACACUUGAAGAACGUGGUUCUCCUCGAGAUUUAGUUACUAAAGACAUCACUGACACAUCAAUUGGGGCUUAUUGGACAUCUGCUCCAGGAAUGGUUCGCGGUUACAGGGUCUCAUGGAAAUCACUUUAUGAUGAUGUUGACACUGGAGAGAAAAAUCUUCCUGAAGAUGCAAUCCAUACUAUGAUAGAAAAUCUGCAGCCAGAGACCAAAUACAGAAUUUCAAUAUUUGCCACUUACAGCAGUGGAGAAGGAGAACCUUUGACUGGAGAUGCCACAACUGAAUUAUCUCAAGAUUCCAAAACUCUGAAAGUAGAUGAAGAAACAGAAAGCACAAUGAGAGUUACGUGGAAACCAGCUCCAGGGAAAGUCGUCAACUACCGUGUUGUCUAUCGCCCCCAUGGGGGAGGGAGGCAAAUGGUUGCUAAGGUGCCCCCCACAGUCACUUCAACAGUGUUAAAGCGACUUCAGCCACAGACCACAUAUGACAUCACAGUUCUUCCGAUUUACAAGACAGGAGAAGGAAAGCUUAGGCAAGGAUCAGGAACAACAGCUUCUCGAUUUAAGUCUCCCAGAAACCUCAAAACAUCUGACCCAACCAUGUCAAGCUUCCGAGUGACUUGGGAGCCUGCCCCUGGAGAAGUGAAGGGUUAUAAAGUCACAUUCCACCCUACGGGGGAUGACAGAAGACUGGGGGAGUUAGUGGUUGGACCCUAUGACAACACGGUUGUUUUGGAGGAACUUAGGGCUGGUACCACCUAUAAAGUAAAUGUUUUUGGAAUGUUUGAUGGAGGAGAAAGCUCACCACUUGUUGGACAAGAAAUGACAACCCUUUCCGACACAACUGUAAUGCCAAUUUUAUCUUCUGGGAUGGAGUGUCUCACCAGAGCUGAGGCAGACAUUGUGUUGCUGGUGGAUGGAUCAUGGAGCAUCGGCCGGGCAAAUUUUAGAACCGUGAGGAGCUUUAUUUCUCGUAUUGUGGAAGUCUUUGACAUUGGCCCCAAAAGAGUACAAAUUGCUCUUGCUCAGUAUAGUGGGGAUCCCAGAACAGAGUGGCAGUUAAAUGCUCACAGAGACAAGAAGAGCUUGUUGCAAGCUGUGGCAAACUUACCAUACAAAGGAGGCAAUACUCUCACAGGCAUGGCUUUGAAUUUCAUUCGCCAACAGAGCUUCAGGACCCAAGCUGGCAUGAGACCUCGAGCUCGAAAAAUUGGUGUGCUCAUUACUGAUGGAAAAUCACAAGAUGAUGUUGAGGCACCUUCAAAGAAACUCAAGGAUGAGGGAGUGGAGCUGUUUGCUAUUGGUAUUAAAAAUGCUGAUGAAGUCGAAUUAAAGAUGAUUGCAACUGAUCCUGAUGAUACCCAUGCAUACAAUGUGGCAGAUUUUGAGUCACUCUCCAGGAUAGUGGAUGAUCUCACCAUUAAUUUGUGUAACAGCGUCAAAGGUCCAGGUGAUUUGGAAGCACCUUCUAACUUAGUUAUUUCUGAGCGAACCCAUCGUUCUUUUAGAGUGAGCUGGACACCACCUUCUGACAGUGUGGAUCGAUACAAGGUGGAAUACUAUCCAGUUUCUGGAGGGAAACGUCAAGAAUUUUAUGUGAGUCGAAUGGAAACCAGCACAGUGCUGAAAGAUCUGAAGCCUGAAACUGAGUAUGUUGUCAAUGUGUAUUCUGUGGUAGAAGAUGAAUAUAGUGAGCCUCUGAAGGGCACAGAAAAAACCUUGCCAGUGCCUGUAGUCAGCCUGAAUAUUUAUGAUGUUGGCCCUACCACCAUGCAUGUGCAGUGGCAGCCUGUGGGAGGAGCUACUGGCUACAUCUUGUCAUACAAACCUGUUAAGGACACAGAGCCAACAACACCCAAAGAGAUGCAUUUGGGGCCAACAGUGAAUGACAUGCAGCUGACUGACCUUGUUCCCAACACGGAGUAUGCAGUCACAGUCCAGGCUGUCCUGCACGACCUCACUAGUGAACCCGUCACUGUUCGGGAAGUCACCUUGCCUUUACCCAGACCUCAGGAUCUGAAACUCAGAGAUGUGACUCACAGCACUAUGAAUGUCUUUUGGGAACCUGUGCCUGGAAAAGUGCGUAAAUAUAUUGUUCGAUACAAAACACCGGAAGAGGAUGUCAAAGAGGUAGAGGUGGACAGAUCAGAGACCAGCACUUCCCUCAAAGACCUCUUCUCACAGACCCUGUACACAGUCAGCGUUUCUGCAGUACAUGAUGAGGGGGAGUCUCCUCCAGUGACUGCUCAAGAAACUACCCGACCCGUGCCAGCCCCAACAAACCUAAGGAUUACUGAAGUAACAUCAGAGGGUUUCAGAGGGACCUGGGAUCAUGGAGCUUCAGAUGUGUCUCUCUACAGAAUAACUUGGGCACCUUUUGGAAGCUCAGAUAAGAUGGAGACCAUCUUAAAUGGAGAUGAAAAUACUUUGAUGUUCGAAAACCUGAAUCCCAACACCGUCUAUGAAGUUUCCAUUACUGCCAUCUAUCCUGAUGAGUCAGAAAGUGAUGACCUGAUUGGCAGUGAGCGCACAUUGCCUAUCUUAACAACACAAGCUCCCAAAAGUGGCCCACGAAACCUUCAAGUGUACAAUGCAACAUCUAACAGCUUGACUGUUAAGUGGGAUCCUGCUAGUGGUCGUGUGCAGAAAUAUAGGAUCACUUAUCAGCCUUCCACAGGGGAAGGCAAUGAGCAAACGACCACAAUAGGAGGACGGCAGAACAGUGUGGUCCUGCAGAAACUGAAGCCAGACACUCCUUACACUAUCACCGUAUCCUCUUUGUAUCCUGAUGGUGAAGGAGGUCGGAUGACGGGAAGAGGCAAGACCAAACCUCUAAACACUGUAAGGAACCUAAGAGUGUAUGACCCUUCUACCAGCACCUUGAAUGUCCGCUGGGACCAUGCAGAGGGAAAUCCUCGUCAGUACAAGCUCUUCUAUGCACCAGCAGCAGAUGGUCCAGAGGAACUGGUUCCAAUCCCCGGGAAUACCAAUUAUGCCAUUCUUAGGAAUCUCCAGCCAGAUACUUCGUACACUGUGACGGUAGUUCCCGUUUAUACUGAAGGUGAUGGGGGACGCACAUCAGAUACUGGAAGGACAUUGAUGAGAGGACUGGCAAGAAAUGUCCAAGUAUACAAUCCUACACCUAACAGCCUCGAUGUUCGCUGGGACCCUGCACCAGGACCUGUGCUGCAGUAUCGCAUUGUGUAUUCCCCUGUGGAUGGCACAAGACCCUCAGAAUCUAUAGUGGUGCCAGGAAACACACGCAUGGUGCAUCUGGAGCGGCUGAUUCCGGACACACUCUAUUCCGUGAACCUUGUGGCUCUAUACUCAGAUGGAGAGGGAAAUCCCAGCCCUGCCCAGGGCCGAACGCUACCACGGAGUGGACCAAGGAACCUGAGAGUGUUUGGUGAAACAACCAAUAGCCUUUCGGUAGCCUGGGAUCAUGCUGACGGGCCAGUUCAGCAGUACAGGAUCAUCUAUUCUCCCACUGUUGGUGAUCCAAUUGAUGAAUAUACCACAGUCCCAGGCAGAAGAAAUAAUGUAAUACUGCAGCCCCUGCAACCUGACACUCCAUAUAAAAUUACUGUUAUUGCUGUUUAUGAAGAUGGAGAUGGUGGCCAUCUAACAGGAAAUGGAAGAACUGUGGGACUCCUUCCUCCUCAGAACAUACACAUCUCUGAUGAAUGGUAUACAAGAUUCAGGGUGUCCUGGGACCCUUCACCCUCUCCAGUUCUUGGAUAUAAAAUUGUAUAUAAGCCAGUGGGUUCCAAUGAGCCCAUGGAAGCCUUUGUUGGAGAGAUGACAUCAUAUACCUUACACAAUCUCAAUCCCAGCACCACCUACGAUGUGAAUGUUUAUGCUCAAUAUGAUUCUGGACUCAGUGUCCCCUUGACAGAUCAAGGCACUACAUUAUAUUUAAAUGUAACAGAUCUGAAAACUCACCAGAUUGGGUGGGAUACAUUCUGUGUCAAAUGGUCAGCUCACCGGGCAGCCACCUCCUACAGGCUGAAACUAAGCCCUGCAGAUGGAACCAGGGGACAAGAAAUUACAGUGCGUGGAUCAGAAACCAGUCACUGCUUCACUGGCCUUUCACCAGACACUGAUUAUGGUGUCACUGUUUUUGUGCAGACACCAAAUCUCGAGGGACCAGGAGUCUCUGUUAAAGAACAUACCACUGUGAAACCAACAGAAGCCCCUACAGAGCCACCCACCCCUCCUCCCCCUCCCACCAUUCCACCAGCCCGGGAUGUAUGCAAAGGGGCCAAGGCAGAUAUUGUGUUCUUGACUGAUGCCUCUUGGAGCAUCGGGGAUGAUAAUUUUAACAAAGUUGUAAAAUUCAUCUUCAAUACUGUGGGAGGCUUUGAUGAAAUCAGUCCUGCUGGGAUUCAGGUUUCAUUUGUGCAAUACAGCGAUGAGGUCAAGUCUGAGUUCAAGCUGAACACAUACAAUGACAAGGCCCUAGCCCUUGGGGCCCUCCAGAAUAUUAGGUACAGAGGAGGAAACACAAGAACAGGCAAGGCCCUCACAUUUAUCAAGGAGAAAAUCUUGACUUGGGAGAGUGGCAUGAGGAAGAAUGUCCCUAAGGUGUUGGUUGUGGUCACAGAUGGUCGGUCCCAGGAUGAGGUCAAGAAGGUGGCUUUGGUCAUCCAGCAGUCAGGGUUCAGUGUCUUUGUAGUUGGUGUGGCUGAUGUCGACUACAACGAGCUUGCCAACAUUGCCAGCAAACCAAGUGAACGGCACGUGUUCAUUGUGGACGACUUUGAAUCUUUUGAGAAGAUCGAAGACAAUCUUAUUACAUUUGUUUGUGAAACUGCCACUUCAAGUUGUCCUCUCAUUUAUUUGGAUGGCUACACCUCACCAGGUUUUAAGAUGCUUGAAGCGUACAACCUGACAGAAAAGAAUUUUGCUUCUGUACAAGGAGUAUCUUUGGAGUCAGGGUCUUUCCCCAGCUACUCAGCUUACAGGAUUCAGAAGAAUGCAUUUGUGAAUCAGCCUACAGCAGACCUACACCCAAAUGGACUCCCUCCUUCAUACACGAUUAUAUUAUUAUUCAGACUUCUCCCAGAAACUCCCAGUGACCCUUUUGCAAUUUGGCAAAUCACAGACAGAGACUACAAACCACAAGUUGGAGUGAUUGCAGACCCUUCUAGCAAGACGUUAUCAUUCUUUAACAAGGAUAUAAGAGGCGAGGUACAAACUGUUACAUUUGACACAGAUGAAGUAAAGACAUUAUUUUAUGGAAGUUUUCAUAAGGUUCAUAUUGUGGUGACCCCAAAAAGUGUUAAGACUUACAUUGACUGCUAUGAAAUUAUAGAAAAAGACAUCAAGGAAGCUGGAAAUAUAACAACUGAUGGUUAUGAAAUUCUUGGAAAACUCCUUAAAGGGGAAAGGAAAUCAGCCGCAUUCCAAAUCCAGAGUUUUGACAUUGUCUGCAGCCCAGUGUGGACCAGUAGAGACAGAUGCUGUGAUAUUCCCUCUAGGAGAGAUGAGGCAAAAUGCCCUGCUUUUCCAAAUUCUUGCACAUGUACACAGGACAGCGUUGGACCUCCAGGACCUCCAGGCCCUGCAGGAGGGCCUGGUGCUAAAGGUCCCAGAGGUGAAAGAGGUAUCAGUGGGGCAGUUGGGCCCCCUGGUCCUCGUGGAGACAUAGGUCCUCCAGGCCCCCAGGGUCCUCCAGGCCCUCAGGGACCCAAUGGACUCUCUAUUCCGGGAGAGCAAGGUCGCCAAGGGAUGAAAGGUGAUGCUGGAGAGCCAGGACUUCCAGGCCGAACAGGAACUCCAGGGUUACCUGGCCCACCAGGACCAAUGGGACCUCCAGGAGAUAGAGGCUUCACUGGAAAAGACGGUGCAAUGGGACCCAGGGGCCCACCGGGGCCACCGGGAAGCCCAGGCUCCCCGGGAGUCACAGGACCAAGUGGGAAGCCAGGAAAACCUGGAGAUCAUGGCAGACCAAAACUUUGCAAGAGCAAUUGGUCCAUCUGGGUUGAAAGGAGAAAAAGGUGAUAGGGGAGACAUUGCUUCCCAGAACAUGAUGCGAGCAGUUGCAAGACAAGUCUGUGAACAAUUGAUAAGUGGUCAGAUGAACAGAUUCAAUCAGAUGCUGAAUCAGAUUCCAAAUGAUUACCACUCCAGUCGCAACCAGCCAGGCCCGCCGGGUCCACCGGGACCUCCUGGCAGCGCAGGAGCCAGAGGAGAACCUGGACCUGGGGGGCGGCCAGGCUUCCCGGGCACACCAGGGAUGCAGGGACCCCCUGGGGAACGAGGUUUGCCAGGAGAGAAAGGUGAAAGGGGUACUGGAUCUCCAGGACCUCGGGGGCUGCCUGGACCCCCAGGUCCACAAGGAGAAUCCAGAACAGGUCCACCAGGGUCCACAGGUUCAAGAGGUCCCCCUGGCCCCCCUGGCCGUCCUGGAAACUCAGGUAUCCGAGGACCCCCGGGUCCUCCUGGAUACUGUGAUUCGUCUCAGUGCGCCAGCAUCCCAUACAAUGGGCAAGGCUAUCCAGGUUCCGGCUAACACAUUUUCUAAGUCGCCAGUGCUGCUUACAGUUUGAAUACAUGAAAAUCCUGUUUCUGAGAUGUUUGCGCACGUGCUUAUUAGGAAAUGAGUCUGUAUGGAAAUCUCACCACAGAUAAUGGUUAACGAACCGGGUCGACAUCACAAAGGAGGGUGGAGACUCUUUUUACUAACUUGAAUGAGACAAAAGCAGUGAUGUCAGUUUAUAAGCCUGAUGCAUUUCAGUAAUAAUGUAGAAAAACAUUAUUUUAAAAAAGUUCCAACACACAGCCAUGAGGAGCCUCAGUUGUGAAAGAGGUGCAUAAUAAAACUACUAACCAGAGGAGACUAUGCCAUUUUAAGAAAAACAAUUAACCUGGUUAAAGAGAAAUGUCUUAUGUAAAUAAUAAACUAAUUGUGGCUUGUAAAUGGUUUGUAUGUGAUCCUGUCGACUAAAAUCACUUAACAAUUCUACAAUAAGCUUCUGCAUCAAAGCCUGCCGCUUGCUCUAUGCCGGAAUAACACCAAAUGGAAUCUCCUUAUCUCUUGCUUGUUAGCGAUGUGUCUGAUUCAGGGCAUCUGGCUCUGUUACUUUUUUGUCCGUGUCCUCUCAUUUGGGUUUUGUAACUGCAGUUUUCAAACCAAAGUUUAAAAUCACCUUUUCUUCCUGUUUUGCUGUAGUCACUGGUGUUCCUCACCCACCAGCUGUAACUCAGUUAGUGUGAGGUACAGCCACAGAAGAUGUCAUGUACUGUAUAUUACCUGGUGAUAGUUGCUUUUCACCCCCCCGAGUUCAGUUUCUAGGAGCCAAUAAAACUUUCCCUCACCUCCUCAUCUUUCCAAGUUGUUCUUUGAAUUGAGGAGUUUGAAGGCAUGAACAGUUACUUGGGGAUUUGUGAAAAUCCUACUUAGGUACUGCGUUUACAGUUUUUUUGGUCCAGUCUCUGACCCUUCCCAGGUAUUUGUGCAAUGAUUGUAUUUACUGCUGGAUUUUUGAAGGUUGUUUUUUUUUUUUAAGACAGUGCCAUUUCAUUAUUUGAUUAUCACCAAAUUCUCUGGAAGUAAUUGGGACAUUGUAACUUAUUUAUAGUUAUGAGAUUAAGACUGGAGUGCCAUCACCGCGGGUGAUGAUUUAGCUUUUGCUGUGUGUAUGUGCCUUCCAAAUCAUGCCAUAACUGUAAUGUUGAAUCGGACAGAGCCUUAUGUGCCCGAGGGCGGGGCCUACCUGCCUGAGCGCGAGCCCUUCAUCGUGCCGGUGGAGCCCGAGCGGACGGCGGAAUAUGAGGACUACGGCGCAGACGAGCCUGCAGAAGAGACUCCUGAGCCCCGCGGGCGCUGGCGGCGCGCCCUGUCCCACGGACCCGGGCAGUGAACCAGAGACCACGCGCCGCGCCGCGAGGCUGGGGGGAGGUGUUGAAAUUCUCAUUUACAGGUCAGAUAGGGCAGUGUACGUCUUUUCUGCGAUGUUUCUUCCAGCGUUGGUCAUCCUGGAGUACCCUUUCUGAUUGUAGAGAACCUUGUUUCUGCAGGAAGCCUAGCUCCAAGCACGCAGUCUGUAGACAUUUUUGCCUUUGCCCUUGAAAUGCUUGCAAAACACUUUGUUCACAAAAGCUGCAAAGACAGAACAUGCCGUGUGCCUUUAGUUAGCACAGCGGGCAGCCUCAGUGAAACUCUUAGGUAAAGCAGUAAGUUCUGGAACCCAGAGCUACUGAGUAUUUCGAGCGGGCAGUUUAUCUUUUGCUAUACUUAUCUGCAAUUCAAUUACACCACUAUUCAAAUAAUUCCCCUCCUAAAACCAAAAAGGAGGGAAACGUCAACUCCAUUGCAAUUAUUUAUCUUCCUCUUCUAUCUCUGUUAUACACCGGGGCAUAGAAUGCUCGUAUACAUCUCUUUAACAACCACCAACCUUAAGCCAUGUAGAUGAAGUUAGUGCAUCAACGGGAUACAGUUCCAUAUUGCCUUAAACCUCCUUGUUUUAGACACACUAACAUUUAUGCCCAAUUGCAGAUUAUUCUGCAGAGAUGGAAUUGCAUGUUUGUGUUGUAUAUUUAGUAUGAACUUUUUUCAGAAUAUAAUAUUUCUUAGUUAUCAAAAGCAGUUGGAAAACGUUUGCAAGACUAUGAAUAUAGAAUUGCUGCUUUUAUAUUUUAACUGCAGAUUGUGAAUUUCACUGCCUUAUAUUAUUUAUUUCUGAAACAAAAGAGGCAUUUUUCAAUAAAACUACUGAAAAUUUGA
Molecule: non-coding RNA, 11900 nt
Organism: Macaca mulatta (Rhesus monkey)
Lineage: Eukaryota; Metazoa; Chordata; Mammalia; Primates; Cercopithecidae
Source: RefSeq, a predicted model, not a curated record